UACGAAGGGGGCUAGCGUUGCUCGGAAUGACUGGGCGUAAAGGGCGCGUAGGCGGCGAUCAAGGUCAGAUGUGAAAUUCCUGGGCUUAACCUGGGGGCUGCAUUUGAUACGUGGUGGCUUGAGUGCGGAAGAGGGUCGUGGAAUUCCCGGUGUAGCGGUGAAAUGCGCAGAUAUCGGGAGGAACACCUAUGGCGAAGGCAGCUCGCUGGGACGUUACUGACGCUGAGACGCGAAAGCGUGGGGAGCAAACAGG
Molecule: ribosomal RNA, 253 nt
Filed under: uncultured bacterium
Lineage: Bacteria
Description: partial 16S ribosomal RNA
Rfam family: Bacterial small subunit ribosomal RNA
Source: RNAcentral